Molecule: ribosomal RNA, 431 nt
Filed under: uncultured bacterium
Lineage: Bacteria
Description: bacterial SSU rRNA
Rfam family: Bacterial small subunit ribosomal RNA
Source: RNAcentral
AACGAACGCUGGCGGCAGGCCUAACACAUGCAAGUCGAGCGCCCCGCGAGGGGAGCGGCGGACGGGUGAGUAACGCGUGGGAACGUGCCCCUUGGUACGGAAUAGCCCUGGGAAACUGGGGGUAAUACCGUAUGUGGUCUACGGACGAAAGAUUUAUCGCCUUGGGAUCGGCCCGCGUUGGAUUAGGUAGUUGGUGGGGUAAUGGCCUACCAAGCCGACGAUCCAUAGCUGGUUUGAGAGGAUGAUCAGCCACACUGGGACUGAGACACGGCCCAGACUCCUACGGGAGGUAGCAGUGGGGAAUCUUGGACAAUGGGCGCAAGCCUGAUCCAGCCAUGCCGCGUGAGCGAUGAAGGCCUUCGGGUUGUAAAGCUCUUUCGUGGGGGAAGAUAAUGACUGUACCCCAAGAAGAAGCCCCGGCUAACUCCGUG